This 31-nucleotide non-coding RNA is filed under the name Mus musculus (house mouse). The record is from RNAcentral. Lineage: Eukaryota; Metazoa; Chordata; Mammalia; Rodentia; Muridae.
UGAUAAGCACAGCCCACCAUAUGGGUUUAUC